RNAcentral lists this ribosomal RNA (469 nucleotides) under uncultured organism. Its description in RNAcentral is "bacterial SSU rRNA". It matches the Rfam family "Bacterial small subunit ribosomal RNA", at positions 29 to 507 of the family's 1533-position model. The record is from RNAcentral.
AACGAACGCUAGCGGUAUGCCUCAAACAUGCAAGUCGUACGCGAAAGUUUCUUCGGAAAUGAGUAGAGUGGCGCACGGGUGAGUAACACGUAGCUAACGUACCUUUUCGCUGUGGAUAACUCCUCGAAAGAGGAGCUAAUACAGAAUAGUCUGAAGGAAUCUGCGGAUUCUUUCGGUAAAGUCGCAAGACGCGAAGAGAUCGGGCUGCGCUCCAUUAGCUAGUUGGUAAGGUAACGGCUUACCAAGGCUACGAUGGAUAGCUGGUCUGAGAGGACGGCCAGCCACACUGGAACUGACACACGGUCCAGACUUCCACGGAAGGCAGCAGUUGGGAAUUUUGGACAAUGGGGGAAACCCUGAUCCAGCAAUACCGCGUGAGUGAUGAAGGCCUUCGGGUCGUAAAGCUCUUUUAGUUGGGAAAAAGGGCAACUUGAUGGUACCAACAGAAAAAGCACCGGCUAACUCUGUG